RNAcentral lists this ribosomal RNA (301 nucleotides) under uncultured bacterium. RNAcentral's name for it is "partial 16S ribosomal RNA". It matches the Rfam family "Bacterial small subunit ribosomal RNA", at positions 509 to 807 of the family's 1533-position model. The record is from RNAcentral.
CAGUAGCCACGGUAACACGAAGGGGGCUAGCGUUGUUCGGAUUUACUGGGCGUAAAGCGCACGUAGGCGGACUUUUAAGUCAGGGGUGAAAUCCCGGGGCUCAACCCCGGAACUGCCUUUGAUACUGGAAGUCUUGAGUAUGGUAGAGGUGAGUGGAAUUCCGAGUGUAGAGGUGAAAUUCGUAGAUAUUCGGAGGAACACCAGUGGCGAAGGCGGCUCACUGGACCAUUACUGACGCUGAGGUGCGAAAGCGUGGGGAGCAAACAGGAUUAGAUACCCCCGUAGUCCCUGUCUCUUAUAC